UUCUAUGGAGAUAAAAACAAAACAGAUUGACUAUUAUAUGUUCUAUUUAGUUUUCAGGGAUUAUUUAAAUAUAAUCUCUGAAAGAGAAUUGUUCUUUGAAAACUGAAUAUUAGAUGAAAAGCAUUGUAAAAGAUUAAAAUAAAUCAACAAUUUUUAACAAAUAAAAAUAAAUUUUUACUGAAUCAAUUAUCAAUUGCUUUAAGAUUUUU
This 209-nucleotide unclassified non-coding RNA is filed under the name Mesoplasma coleopterae. Its description in RNAcentral is "16S-23S ribosomal RNA intergenic spacer". The record is from RNAcentral. Lineage: Bacteria; Bacillati; Mycoplasmatota; Mollicutes; Entomoplasmatales; Entomoplasmataceae.